This 460-nucleotide ribosomal RNA is filed under the name uncultured bacterium. Its description in RNAcentral is "partial 16S ribosomal RNA". It matches the Rfam family "Bacterial small subunit ribosomal RNA", at positions 338 to 795 of the family's 1533-position model. The record is from RNAcentral.
CCUACGGGGGGCAGCAGUGAGGAAUAUUGGUCAAUGGACGCGAGUCUGAACCAGCCAAGUAGCGUGAAGGAUGACUGCCCUAUGGGUUGUAAACUUCUUUUAUAUGGGAAUAAAAUGUUCCACGUGUGGGAUUUUGUAUGUACCAUAUGAAUAAGGAUCGGCUAACUCCGUGCCAGCAGCCGCGGUAAUACGGAGGAUCCGAGCGUUAUCCGGAUUUAUUGGGUUUAAAGGGAGCGUAGGUGGAUUGUUAAGUCAGUUGUGAAAGUUUGCGGCUCAACCGUAAAAUUGCAGUUGAUACUGGCAGUCUUGAGUACAGUAGAGGUGGGCGGAAUUCGUGGUGUAGCGGUGAAAUGCUUAGAUAUCACGAAGAACUCCGAUUGCGAAGGCAGUUCACUAGACUGCAACUGACACUGAGGCUCGAAAGUGUGGGUAUCAAACAGGAUUAGAUACCCCUGUAGUC